GACGAACGCUGGCGGCGUGCUUAACACAUGCAAGUCGUACGGUAAGGCCCUUUCGGGGGUCCACGAGUGGCGCACGGGUGAGUAACACGUGAGUAACCUGCCCACAACUUUGGGAUAACGCUAGGAAACUGGUGCUAAUACUGGAUAUGUACUCCUGCUGCAUGGUGGGGGUUGGAAAGCUCCGGCGGUUGUGGAUGGACUCGCGGCCUAUCAGCUUGUUGGUGGGGUAGUGGCCUACCAAGGCGCCGACGGGUAGCCGGACUGAGAGGGUGACCGGCCACAUUGGGACUGAGAUAAGGCACAGACGCCUACGGGAGGCAGCAGUGGGGAAGAUUGCACAAUGGGCGCAAGCCUGAUGCAGAAACGCCGCGUGCGGGAGGACGGGCUUCGGGUUGGAAACCGCUUUCAGCAGGGACGAAGCUUUUUGUGACGGUACCUGCAGAAGAAGCACCGGCUAACUACGUG
RNAcentral lists this ribosomal RNA (465 nucleotides) under uncultured bacterium. RNAcentral describes it as "partial 16S ribosomal RNA". It matches the Rfam family "Bacterial small subunit ribosomal RNA", at positions 28 to 507 of the family's 1533-position model. The record is from RNAcentral.